CGCUUUCUCCGGUGAGAUACAUUCAGUCUCUUGCGAAUUGAAGGGAAAUUAUGAAACAGAGAGACGAAAGAUACAAUUAUUUUAUUGGUGAAUUUUUGGGGGAAGCUCGGCUUCCCUUGACUCCAUGAAUACACGCAACUACCCCCUCCCACCAUUGCUGUUGGCAGUUGCCUUGUUGGUGAGGUCGCUCAUCAUCACCAAACAGAUGUGUCCAGGAGCUUUCAGUGCCCAUCUCCCUCAGUUUGACAGAGGCUUCUUCGUAAACCAGAGUUUGUCUGCGUCUGCUCUGUCAAUGGAGGGACAGUCCACAUCACUUCUGCCUCCCAAUGGAAUUGUGGUUGAGUAUUGUGACUCCAAACCAUCCAUCCUGGCCUCCCUCUGUCAAGUCUCCCAACCAUGAGUCCCUCUCUCAUGCCCUGAACCUGAACUCUUUGCUGUCUAAGGAGGCCACACAAACACCUUGGCUCACCAUACCUGUGGAGAGCAAGUCCUCUACUCCCACUGAGCCAGUGCUCCUCCAGAAACCCAAACUAGCCUGCCCAUUGGACCUGUCCUAUGUUGAUCUGACUGCCUCACAGGUUGCCUUGGAGGUCUCGCUAAUCAAACCCGAGACUAACAGUCCCAAACCGAUCCUUGAAUCAAGCACGUUGGAGUCGACCUGGAGUCCCAAGUUCCAGUCUGCACCACUGUCCCUGGCUGAGAUCUCCCUGAUCUGGUCAGGAACACCCCCAUAUGCCAAUAACACAUAGGAGAACCAGAGGUCCUGGAGAUAGGCCACUAUGGGUUCCAGCCUGAGCCAGACCGCAAGCUGAACAAGCCAAAGUGGGCAUGUGACAGUGCUGUACUGAAAAGCUGAGACAAAGGGACACAAGCAAGAAGAAGAAGUAUGAAGAAAAUGUUUAUUUUACAAUCUAUUAUAAUAAAGUUUUGUAUUUAUUAAAUCAA
Molecule: long non-coding RNA, 945 nt
Organism: Coregonus clupeaformis (lake whitefish)
Lineage: Eukaryota; Metazoa; Chordata; Actinopteri; Salmoniformes; Salmonidae
Exons: 3
Source: RefSeq, a predicted model, not a curated record